CGUCAUCGUCGGUCAGGGCACCCUCGGACUCGAGAUCUGGGAUGCCGUUCCCGACGUUGAGACGGUCAUCGUUCCCAUCGGCGGUGGCGGCC
RNAcentral lists this transfer RNA (92 nucleotides) under Mycetocola manganoxydans. Its description in RNAcentral is "tRNA-Ser". Lineage: Bacteria; Bacillati; Actinomycetota; Actinomycetes; Micrococcales; Microbacteriaceae. The record is from RNAcentral.